RNAcentral lists this ribosomal RNA (117 nucleotides) under Lates calcarifer (barramundi perch). The record is from RNAcentral. Lineage: Eukaryota; Metazoa; Chordata; Actinopteri; Centropomidae.
GCUUACGGCCACACCACCCUGAGCGCGCCCGAUCUCGUCUGAUCUCGGAAGCUAAGCAGGGUCGGGCCUGGUUAGUACUUGGAUGGGAGACCGCCUGGAAUACAGGUGCCGUAAGCU